GCGAGAGUGGUGAAAUUGGUAGACACGCUAGCCUUAGGAGCUAGUGCCUUUGGCAUAAGGGUUCAAGUCCCUUCUCUCGCAC
This 82-nucleotide transfer RNA is filed under the name Spirochaetia bacterium. RNAcentral's name for it is "tRNA-Leu". It matches the Rfam family "tRNA". From Rfam's summary of the family: Transfer RNA (tRNA) molecules are approximately 80 nucleotides in length. Their secondary structure includes four short double-helical elements and three loops (D, anti-codon, and T loops). Further hydrogen bonds mediate the characteristic L-shaped molecular structure. tRNAs have two regions of fundamental functional importance: the anti-codon, which is responsible for specific mRNA codon recognition, and the 3' end, to which the tRNAs corresponding amino acid is attached (by aminoacyl-tRNA synthetases). tRNAs cope with the degeneracy of the genetic code in two manners: having more than one tRNA (with a specific anti-codon) for a particular amino acid; and 'wobble' base-pairing, i.e. permitting non-standard base-pairing at the 3rd anti-codon position. Lineage: Bacteria; Pseudomonadati; Spirochaetota; Spirochaetia. The record is from RNAcentral.